This 10303-nucleotide long non-coding RNA is filed under the name Cricetulus griseus (Chinese hamster). RNAcentral describes it as "lncRNA (ENSCGRG00015039872.1)". Lineage: Eukaryota; Metazoa; Chordata; Mammalia; Rodentia; Cricetidae. The record is from RNAcentral.
CCUCGGCUCCUGCUCCAGCGGCACAAUGUGAUCCACCAGCUAGGAGGGACGCCAAUAAGGCGUCUGAUAAGAUAAGUCUUAUAAAAUAUAUAGAUGUAUGAUAAUUGAGACUGAGCUAACAGAUUGAUUCUGAAUCCUGGCACUUUGCUGAAUUUGUUUACCAUAUCUUCUGGUAAAACUGUUGAGAUCUUUAAUGUAUAGUAUCAUGGCAUCUGAAAACAGGUACAGUUAAACUUAUCUCCCUAUUUGUAUCCCUUUAAUAACCAUCUGUUGCCUUACUUUCAUCUAUCACUUCAAACACAGUGCUAAAAAUGAGUGGGGACAUUGGAUAGCCCUGUGUCAUUCUUGACUUCAGUGGAAUUGCUUCUAUUUGCUCUCUAUUCAUUUGGAUGAUGUGGGCUAGUGAAAUUUACAUAUAUAACUCAUAUUUAGGUAUGUUCCCUCUAGACCUACAUUCUCUAAGUUUGUUUAUCCUGAAGGAAAUGUGUGUGUGUGUGUGUGUGUGUGUGUGUGUGUGUGUGUGUGUGUGUGUGUGUAGAUCAUCUAUAUGUUGGACACCAUGGUCUUUUAGAACUCAUUUAGAACUUAAGGUUAGAAUAUAGAGGCAGAUUCUCAGUGUUCAAGAUCAUGCAGACAAAACUGAGUGCCAAGUCAGACCAUUAGCAGAGGGGUAGUGAACUAUGGUGUAUCAUGCCUACUGGCUGUUUACCUUAUGACCUCAAAGGUUGAGUCAGUGUCGAAGUUCUACAUAAGAAUGGAACUAAAAAAAUCUGGUAUUAAGAUAAAGGUGUAAAGGUCACUUAAAAAUCAAUGUUUCAUAACUUCCUUUGGAAAUGAUAACAUUUGGAAAGCUUAUAAGUAGUUUUCCACAAAGAUGAUUUAGUAGCAUCACAACACGAAAUUUUUGCUUAAACUAAACAUACCACAACAAGGGUCUAAAUGAUGAUGGAGCAUCAUGUUUCAAAUGCUAAAUUAAAAACAACAUGGGAUGCUUGUUUUCAGAUUCACAAAUUAAAUGUUGGCAACAACCUCUAGGUAAUGGUGGCACACCUGAACUGUGAGACUUGCCUGAGCUACAUGAGACCCUAUUGCAGUAGAACCAAGGAGACUAACCCCACAUCAGCAAUCACAGCAAAGGCAACUGAACAUGUGUUAAAGAAUAAUCAUAAUAAUUAUGAUAGUAAUAUUCACCAUGACUCACCUGAAUUUAUUAAUUCUGUGGCAUGCAUUGUGAAUUGUAGCAUUUACUAUUCAUGACAACUGAGAUAAAUAUUCUACUGCCCUUGUUUCAAAGACAAGGGGAUUUAGAAAAGUUAGAUACUCUGCUCAAUAAAUCAAGAGGUUAGAAAUGACAGGAAUGAUGAUAAAAUUUAAACUAUAAUAAUCUUCAGACAUAUUUUCAUCAGAUUUAAAACUCCAAGAUCUUGAGAACUCUUGUAAUGUGUUGCAAUUGGGAUUGCCUGUGUGAGAGUAAGAAACAUGCAACAUAAUAAAAUUUUUGGAUGAGAAACUUAAGUCCUCAUAGAGAAAAAUCACAUUAAGAUCAAGAUCAACUAGCCUAAAAAUAUAAUUUCAAAUAUUUGUACCUUAGCUUAGUAAAAUAAUGGUUAGUUAAUGAACACUUGUUGAGUAACAGACCUAAUAUUAGAUUCUAUUUAUAAAUUAGUUUAUGUGAUGUUCAAAACUACCCUAGAAGUCAUGCCUAGAAGGCAGAAGAGUCAGAAUUCAAAUGAUAAUCCUUGAUCUGAACUAGAAUGUUAUCAGUCACCAUGCUGUGAAUAGUGGCAUUUGCACACUUUCAACCCCUCAGAUCCUAUUUUCUAGGCAUUUCUUACUAGUGAACUUUGAGGAAAUAAGUUCCUUGCUAUAUCAUCCAGAAAAAUAUAUGAAAAGUUGUUGGACACUGUAGAUGAAUGUGGACCUCAGGAGAUUGUCUACAAAGUCAGUUGCUUUCUGUUGUAUGUCUCAGAGGCACUGAUUUAGAUCCCAAGUCUCAGAUAUGAGAGAUGAAGAACAACCCAUGUUGUUCUUGAGAAGGAAACCCUUUGGAUGGCUUCCAGGUCCCAUCAUCCAUCUAACCACUGGUUUCAUGCUGUCAGCUGUCAAUGGUUUUUAUGCCCAAACUUCUGUUCUCAGGAAGCCACUGUGUGUCUAGAAUAUGCAGAGCCAUCUUUAUUCACCUUCACUUCUCCCCCAGGAAUCUCACAGUAGAGACUUCUGGUCUACCAUCUGGCUCCACUUCAGUCUGUUCCCAGACCCAGUUCUCUGAUAGCUAACCCUUGUAGGACUAUCUGACAAUCUUGUGUAUUAUAACAAUAUUUCAAACUUGAGAAUAAAUUACAGAUAUGAGUAAUACAGGAGAGAAACCCAAGGAAGAAAUAAAUGGCAUAUAGAUAAUUACAAAACAAACAUUUUCAUCACAGUUGUGCUUUGCUCAAGCCCAUGGGAGGCCUGCCCCUUUCUGAACAGAGAAAGAGGACUAGUGGAAGGGGUGAGGAGUAGAGUGUUGGAAGAGUGGGGGAAUGGGGAAAUGGGAGGAGAGGAGAGAGGGGAAACUGAGGUCAGUAUGUAAAAUAAAUGAAAAAGUGAUAUUUAAGUAAAAUAAAAAAUAAAAACAUACACACAGGAGGAGAGGGAGAGGGAGGAGGGAUUGACAUGUGAAGAAAGCUUUUUCCUAAUUUGAACUAAUAAAAAAAUUACAAAAAAACCCCACACACAUACAUACAAAAAAGAAAGAAAUUGCUUUCCUAUUUUACAGCUACUGACUUUACAGAGGUAAAACCAACACAGACCAUGGCAACUGUAGAUUUCAUAAAAUUGUACCACAUUUUUACAAGGAAGGAUGCUUGAUGGGAAAAUCUACUCACUGCAAAUGUCAACUGUGUUACUUUAUGUAAGCACUAUAACACCUUCAAAUAGAUCAGCAUUUGCUAAACUACUGAUAAAGAUAUCAAUUAAGGCAUCAAUAAAUUUUUUCUCAGAUGGAUCUUUCCAAUCAAUGAGAAAGUAGAAAUCCUUCAGAUUGUGUCAUUAAAUAGCAUGUCAUAUCAUUAGAUAGCAGGGUACUUUUAUGUUCUUACCAGUCUUGGUGAGACUAAUGAAGUCCCCUCUAGAAGAACUCUGUCAGUUUGGGGUUAUAUCUCAGUGAAUUGGAUGUGUGCUGGUCUUCUGAACAAAGUGUCCCAGGAAAAGGAAUGAGUUGUUGUCACUAGAAGUUGCCCAGCAGUACCACUCACAGUUUUCUGAAACAGAAGGCGGUAAAGAGAAAUAAGACCUGGAAUUGCAGAGCCCCACAGUCACGCUUUCAAAAUUGCCUGCACUCAUUUAUCCACAUAAUGGUGGUAGCUUAUAUUUCUGCACAUCUCAUAGUUUUUAUUUUUUUCAUUAUUUCUUUAAUUUUUCAGACUCUAAUAUAAUUAAAUUAUUUAUGUCUUCUGUUUCCUCACUCCAAACUCCCCCAGAUACUCUUCCUUGCUCUCCUUCACAUCUGUGGCCUCUUUUUCAUUAAUUAUUGUUAGAUGCAUAUGUGCAGUUUUGUAUAUAUUCCUAAAUAUAACUUGUCCAUUAUAUACAAUGUUACCCACAAAUGAACAGACCACAGAGUUGUAGAGUCCAGUCCUCAUGCAUACAUCAACAAAACAACUCAUGUUUCUUGUAUUUUUAACAAAUACUCUAACUAGAGUAGCCAACAAUGCUGUUUUACAUGUUAAUGAAAAAUAAAGUAUCAAUAAUGCCAAGAUUCCAAAUAAAUUUGUUAUGCCUCAGGUAACAGUGAACUACAAUUAUUCUUGUUGAUCUUUUACAUACUGAGCAUAUUUAACCUACAGUUUUGCCAUUAGAUAAAGUCUAAGACUUUAAAAAUAAUUAUUAUAAUAGUCAUUAUGAUAACAUCCAGUAGUACUUCUCGAGUGUGGGGCCAUGAUUAUGUAAAAGAAGGUUUGCUUGUGCCAUAAACAUUGUGAGACUAGACACCCUGUGAUUUCUAAGUAACCAAAAAGUGGGUAUCAUAUAUAACACAGAUUAGCUGGCCAACGGGAUAAUUAACACUCAUGAAGGAUGUGUCAAGAUCACAUGACAUUUCAUCAUGAUAUCCAGAACAGUGUGUAAUUUAAAUGUACAAAAUACUGAUUUCUGGAAUUUUCUAUUUAGUAUUUUAGUCUAUGACCAACUGUGAGUAACUAAAACUGAAUAAAAAGUGUGAAUAUCAAUAAGAGGAAAAUACUAUAUAUUGUAAGUAAACAGUGAGAUCUUGGCAUCAUAUGGUCAGAGUUCUUGAGAUUUUGUGACAGCCAAGCCACAUAUUUGACAUCUUUGGGAAAACUGCAUAUUCUAUGUAGACACCUGUGAAACAACAGAAUUAAGUUGCCCUGAUUCAAGCUCUUUAUAGUAUUCAAUGAAUACUAUACCUAUCUGUAACUCAGACUCUUUCUCCUUCCUUCCUUCUUCCUUUCUUUCUGUCUCUUUUCUCUUCUGUCUCUGUGGUUCUCUCUCUGUCCCUCUGUCUCCUUAUCCCUCUAUGUCUCUGUCCCUCUGUGUUUGUGUUCCUCUUUCUCUAUGUCUGUCUCUCUGUCGCUCUGUUCUGUCUCUCUGUAUGUAUCUCUCUCUUUCUGUGUGUCUGUCUCUCUCACUCUCCCUCUCUCCUUCCCUCCCUCCCUCCCUUUCUUUCCCACCUCCCUCCCUUCCCCUUCCUCCUCUCUCUCUCUCUCUCUCUCUCUCUCUCUCUCUCUCUCUCUCUUUCUCUCUCCUAUUGUUGUUUAAAACUUAUGAAGGAGGAGAAAGGUGGUGCUAUUUACCAAUCAUGUAAUAUAAAGCCUUUAGCUGGUGCUUUUAAGAAAUCAUCUCAGUACUUAUAAUAGAUGAGAUGUCUUUAUUUCUGCUUUACAAAUAAAAGCUAUGAACCACCAAAUUUAGAAAUGUGCCAAAGUCAGAUGAAAAGAAAACAAUGGAUCUGGGACUUCAACCAUGCCUGUCGGACUUUCAAUGCCCAUGCUAUUUCUGGCCUCUUUCUCUGCUUCAUUCCUCCACCCCUUUUACACUGUCUCUUGUUUGUUUGCUUUUGGUUGGUUGGUUGGGUUCUGUUGUUAUUCCUUGGUGUUUUGCUUGUUUGUUUGUUUUGUUAUUCUUUUGGCUUGAUUUAGUUUAGUUUUGUUUAGAGACAGAAUUUUGCUAAUCUUGAACUUGUAAUUGUCCAGCCACCACCUCCAGAGCUGGGAUUACAGACAUAUUCCACAAAGCCUGGCUGUGGAGUCUUCACUACUUAAGAGAAGUACACUACUUUUUUUUAAAAGGUGGAUUAAUUUCCAUGAAAAAAGUUUGCUUGAUCCAAAAAUAUUGCAUUAAUUCUGUAAAUAAAUUAAAUAUUCUAUAGGGAGAAUCAAAUGUCUGAAAUACCAACUUGAAUUUCCAUCUAAAUACGAAAGAAUGCAUAUAGGAGGAAAAAGUAAAGACAAAAAUAAAAAGUAACAAAAGUAAAUCAGAAAACAGAACUCAAAAAGCAAUAGCCUGGUUGUUUAAAAUGUAACUUUAACAAAGUAAGCAAAAACAUAAAACUGACUGGAAAAAUAUGAAAGAAGGUAAAACUAUAAAAAAUGAGAAAUUACAUAGGAAUUAUUGAAAAUGAAAUAAAAUAAAAUUAUGGGAACUACUCUAUAGGCAUCAAUGCACACAUUUGAAAACCUAGAAAAUCAACAACUUUCAGGUGAAAUGUAGACAAACUGAAUUGGUAAGCAAGAGAUAGAGAUGUCUCUACCUAUGGUUGAUAUGGCCCCAAAUAUUAAAAUAGUCAAUACAGUAACAUAAAAUUAAAUUCAGAAAUUCAAAGAUAUUAUUUACCUUGCAUUACAAAUAAGUAGUCACACUUAAGGAUCUGAGAAAGAAUGGACCCAAACCAAGUAACUUUCAGAAACAUUACCAUGACCACAUAAGUUUUAUGAUUAAGUUUAAUGAUGAGGAAAUGUGUGCAUACACACUGCACUCAAGGUAAAGGUUUACUUUUCAUAGUGGUAUGAAACUGUAAGUGUGAAAGUUCUUCAUGGGGCCAUUGAGUGCCGUGCGACUGAUUAAAUAUAUUGAUGAAAAAACAGAGAAUUUUCUCAGUCUGAAUAAAGCAGAUAUGAAAAGGGAUCAAACACUUUGAUAUAAGACAUAUCACUUUGAAAGUGCUACAGGAAAACACUUCACAAUGCAGCCAAAGACUUUAGAAUAAAUGCAAAACACAUUACAACAUAGGGACAGGCAAGAAUUCUGAAAUGAACACCAGAAGACCCCCCGAAAUGAUAACAACAAUUAUCAAACAGGAUUGCAUGGAGCAAAAAGACCACCAAUAGAAUGGGAGAAAUUUUGUGGCCACCAGACAUUUGAUAGAGGAUUUAGAAUACAUAAAACUUCCAAAACCCAAGUACCCAACACCCACACACCCAACCAACAAAUGGGCAAUUCAGUUAGACACUUCCCAAAAGAAGUACAUGUGACCUGUGCGUGUAUAAAAAAAUGCUCAACACGUUUAACCACCCUGGAAAUUCAAGUCAGAAUUACACUGAUAUUCUACCUCACCCUGUCAGAAUGUCAUCAUCAGGAAAGAAAAGAAUAAAUGCUGGUAAGUAUGUGGGGGAAAGAAGUUUUAUGCAUUGUUAUAGGAAUGUAAGGAAGUAAAAAUCAGUGUGGUGUUUCCUCAAAAAAAAAAAAAUCAAAGAGAUACUAUAUUAUACAGCUAUUGCACUACUGGGCACACAGUUAGAGGAAUCUAAGUCAACAUUCCUCAGAGAUACAUACACUCCAACAUUUAGGACUGUUCAAGAUCAUCCAUCUGUCUAUCUACCUACCUGCCUACCUAUGUAUCUACUUAUCAUCUAUCCACCAAUCUAUCAUCUAUCUACCUACUUAUCUAUCAUCUAUAUAUCUACCUGUCAUUUACCUAUCUAUCUACCAUCUAUCAUCUAUCUAUCAGAUAUCAUCUAUCUAUAAACUAUCUAUCUAUAAGCUAUCUAUCUAUCUAUCUAUCUAUCUAUCUGUCAUCUCCUUCUCUCCCACCCUAAUGGAGGUUUAGUCAUAAAGAUGAAGAAAUUAUGUCAUUUGGAGAAAACAGAUAGAUCUGGUUAUCAUCAAACCAAUCAUAUAAGUCAGACUUAGAAUGAUAACAAUGCAUCCGUAUCAAUAAACAUAUAUAUGAAAGUCAAAGUUAGUAUCUGGGAAGAGAUAGGGAACCAUCAGGAGUAGGAAGAGGUAACAAGAGAAGCUAAGUGUGUGGGGGAGAAUGUGAGCAAAGAAAUGACAUAUAUGAAAAUGCCAUCAUGUAACAUAAUUUUGUACAAUAAAUAUAUUCUAGUAAUAUUUUUGAAGCAGUUACAUGUAACAGAAAGGGAACUGUUGAGAAAGGAGGCAUCAAUGAGACAGAAAUGUGCAUCUUUAUGUGAACGGUGACAUGGAAGGUACAGCUGUGUGCCUCUGUGUGUGGCUGUGAUUACACACUUCCUCUCCAAGUCAGUGGCAACAAAGCAAUGAGCACACUUGCUAUCCAGACCUUGGUUUCCAGUGAUCCAUCCUCAGCAAAAAGACUCAAGGGUCUUGGAGGAAAUAGUUGAUUUUGGAAAAAAAUGGAGAGGAACAAGUAGAGGAAAGCAAAAAAAAAAAAAAAAAAAAGAUGAGAGACUACAAGAGACUCAAGAGACUACAAGAUCUUGUGUUGCUGAGAGCGAGCAGAAACUCAGCAGUCAAUAGCACAUGAUAGGGACACAGGACCCAACCAGAGGGUGUUUCCAAUGGCCCAAUCUAGAGUAGUGUGAGCAGAAUGAACUAAAUGCCCGACAGCUGCUCUGUAUGUGUGUGAUCAACUGAAUAAGUGAGAAUGAACUCUUUCUCAGAGUAGAAGUCACAUGAAAAGUGAUGGGAAAUUGAAACACAGAAACAAUGGGGAAAGAAAAUGGCAUUGACAGAAACACUAUCAAUUGUUUUGAAGGCAAAAAUCACUACUAGGUAUUAAAAGUAGUGAGAAAACAAAACAGGAAAAAAUAGGAUAUUGGAUAGUCCCAGGCAGCCUUCCCACAAGACACUUAGUAGCUAAUAGAGAAAGAAGAGUGUAAAUUGACAGUGAAGAAAAUGACAGACACCACAGCAACCAAGUUAGCAAAUGUCACCCCACUAGGCAUCAGAUAAUUCAACCUCCUGGACAAGGUCACACCUUGGUUUCUAUGAUAUUCAGACAAAGAAUGAACAGUGUAAACUUAGAAAGGAAAACUUUACAAAGCAAUUGAGGGACAGUCUCCAAAGCAACUAGCCAACACUCUUGCAAAGCAUCGAGGGUAAGAAGGAGAUGGUCUGGGGGCAUUCUCUAAGUCCAAGAAGGAUGGAGCCACGAGAAUAAAUGGAAAACAUGCACCAGCCAAGAAAUACUACAAGUGUAUCAUGGUGGCAACAUUCCAAGCAGGUUAUAAAUAAGAUCAAUAUUCAUGGUUUUAUAAUUAUAGCAUAGUUAUGUAAGGGGUUGACAUUUGAUGAAGGUGCUAAGCUUGUGGAAAUUGUGUCAUUUUAAAAGUUACUUUAUAGAUCUUAAACGCCAAUGCAAUCACAUUUCUAUUGCAUAAUUAUAAAAUGUCAGACUUUCCUGGGGAUAUCUAAUCCAGUCACCAAACAGUUAGCUUGAAGUCUCUAAAAUGAGACCAUUCUCACAUUUUUUUUUUCUGUAGAGUCCCACUCUUCUACAUAUCAUACUGAAUCUACCACUGACAAAUGAAUGUGGGUUCCAGUACCACUUUCAACCAACAAAAUCCAGGAUGCUCAGAGUUCUCAUGGUUCUCUUUCUCACCCAAAGGAAGGAAACAUACAGUUCUGUCAGAGGGGCUACACCUUAUUUGUGAAUGAGGAGUAAAACUGUGGUACAGAAACGUUCACCAGAAGGGAACGUUUGGAGAAAAAUACCACAUUUGUGUUCCUAGAAAAGUUCGCACAACUUAGGGAACAGCAUCAAGCUAUUUAUUUGAGUCAAUGGUUUCAUCAAAAUAAGGUUACAUCUCCUGUAUUCCAUUUAGCUCUUUGUCUAGGAAGAUGCUGUGGGAGACAUUUCUAUACUUAGGCUGAGACCUUAACCCAAGGAUGGAGGGGAUUUCCUGGUUCCCAAGUGACAGCUCUAUUGGCAAUGUAGAAAGAUCCAUUUUAUUAACCAUGCAAAGAAUUCCUAACUUCAGGAAAACACACCACACCACACACACACACACACACACACACACACCUUCCCUUACCAUCAUACCCUUCCUGCUUCUGCAAACUCCUCACCAUGGCCUGAAGACCUCUGCCUCCCCAAAGUCCUAUUGAUCAAGUUCAAAGCAUUUGCUUAGUUACCUGCUUUGUGAAUGUCAUUGCUUUGUUUGCAGCAAAGAAUGUCCCAUGGUCCUUGCUUGUUUGUUUUAUCAAGUGGCCGCCAUUAUAUGACAUUUACUCCUCUUAUUCAUCUAACUCUUCCCAACAUCAUGUCUUUUCCACAAGCUGUCCCAUUUAAAUUAAGAAAAGCUAGCCUCCCUUUACCCCAAGUGCCACCCCACAGGGGUCUGUCCUCACUGCCUCCUGAUGUGCCUGGAUUUUACUCUCAUCUGAAUUACUGCUUUUCUGCCAAUGAUUUUUUUUUUUCUAUUUGUGAUCCGCCAUUACUCUUGUACAUGCUGGUGAAAAUUCCUACUGGCACAGGCUGCUUAUGAGAUCCUGAACAUUGUAAAAGAAAGCUCUAACACCCUAUAUGGGUAUGGCGAGCAUGCACCCCCAGGUUACGGUGCUCCUCGAGUUAUUUCAAAAAGGUUUUUGGACAGAACUUCAUAUCAGAAGUACAUAGCCAAGUCAGUCAUCGUAUGCAAGAAAGCAAUCCCUGGAGCAAAGAUUCCUGGUGAUCUGUGUUGCCUCUGCUUUAAGUGAUCUGCUGCAGACUGAAGAUGUAUGUCUCCACCCACAGAACACACAGUUGCUGACAUCACACUCUGCUCUGUCUUAUUCUUCCAUUCUCCAUACGUCCCAAGAGAGUAGUUGGCUCUUAAUAAAGGCUUCUCACUGAUUAUGGUCAGCCAGCCACAGCUCCUUAAGGACUCUGCCCAAGUUGACAUGACCUGACUACAAUUGUUGCUUCAUCUGUUCAGAACUGCAAGCAGCACUGAGACUGAACCUAGCAGUAAGCAAAACAAUUGUAGUGAGGGCACCUCCUGGCUCCCAAGAGGCAGCAACUCCAUGUGGCUAGCAGCGUUUUUUUUUUUUGUUUUUUGUUUUGUUUUUUGUUUUUUGUUUUUGUUUUCGCUUUUGUUUGUUUAUUUGUUUUUGCUUUUAUCCA